CCUCUAGAGAUUAGUUUGAUCCUGGCUCAGAUUGAACGCUGGCGGCAUGCCUUACACAUGCAAGUCGAACGGCAGCACGGGGGCAACCCUGGUGGCGAGUGGCGAACGGGUGAGUAAUACAUCGGAACGUGUCCUGUAGUGGAGGAUAGCCCGGCGAAAGCUGGAUUAAUACCGCAUACGCUCUACGGAGGAAAGGGGGGGAUCUUAGGACCUCCCGCUACAGGGGCGGCCGAUGGCAGAUUAGCUAGUUGGUGGGGUAAAGGCCUACCAAGGCGACGAUCUGUAGCUGGUCUGAGAGGACGACCAGCCACACUGGGACUGAGACACGGCCCAGACUCCUACGGGAGGCAGCAGUGGGGAAUUUUGGACAAUGGGGGCAACCCUGAUCCAGCAAUGCCGCGUGUGUGAAGAAGGCCUUCGGGUUGUAAGGCACUUUUGUCCGGAAAGAAAACGCCGUGGUUAAUACCCGUGGCGGAUGACGGUACCGGAAGAAUAAGCACCGGCUAACUACGUGCCAGCAGCCGCGGUAAUACGUAGGGUGCAGGCGUUAAUCGGAAUUACUGGGCGUAAAGCGUGCGCAGGCGGUUCGCUAAGACAGAUGUGAAAUCCCCGGGCUUAACCUGGGAACUGCAUUUGUGACUGGCGGGCUAGAGUAUGGCAGAGGGGGGUAGAAUUCCACGUGUAGCAGUGAAAUGCGUAGAGAUGUGGAGGAAUACCGAUGGCGAAGGCAGCCCCCUGGGCCAAUACUGAC
RNAcentral lists this ribosomal RNA (751 nucleotides) under uncultured Burkholderia sp. RNAcentral's name for it is "bacterial SSU rRNA". It matches the Rfam family "Bacterial small subunit ribosomal RNA", at positions 1 to 744 of the family's 1533-position model. The record is from RNAcentral. Lineage: Bacteria; Pseudomonadati; Pseudomonadota; Betaproteobacteria; Burkholderiales; Burkholderiaceae.